This 800-nucleotide ribosomal RNA is filed under the name uncultured bacterium. RNAcentral describes it as "bacterial SSU rRNA". It matches the Rfam family "Bacterial small subunit ribosomal RNA", at positions 86 to 881 of the family's 1533-position model. The record is from RNAcentral.
CGCCGGCGAGUGGCGAACGGGUGAGUAAUGCAUCGGAACGUACCCAGUAGUGGGGGAUAACUUACCGAAAGGUAAGCUAAUACCGCAUACGCACUGAGGUGGAAAGCAGGGGACCGCAAGGCCUUGCGCUAUUGGAGCGGCCGAUGUCGGAUUAGCUAGUUGGUGGGGUAAAGGCCUACCAAGGCGACGAUCCGUAGCGGGUCUGAGAGGAUGAUCCGCCACACUGGAACUGAGACACGGUCCAGACUCCUACGGGAGGCAGCAGUGGGGAAUUUUGGACAAUGGGCGCAAGCCUGAUCCAGCCAUGCCGCGUGAGUGAAGAAGGCCUUCGGGUUGUAAAGCUCUUUCGGCCGGGAAGAAAUCGUGGUGGCUAAUACCUGCCAUGGAUGACGGUACCGGACUAAGAAGCACCGGCUAACUACGUGCCAGCAGCCGCGGUAAUACGUAGGGUGCGAGCGUUAAUCGGAAUUACUGGGCGUAAAGCGUGCGCAGGCGGUUGUGUAAGACAGGCGUGAAAUCCCCGGGCUCAACCUGGGAACUGCGCUUGUGACUGCACGGCUAGAGUACGGCAGAGGGGGGUGGAAUUCCACGUGUAGCAGUGAAAUGCGUAGAGAUGUGGAGGAACACCGAUGGCGAAGGCAGCCCCCUGGGUCGAUACUGACGCUCAUGCACGAAAGCGUGGGGAGCAAACAGGAUUAGAUACCCUGGUAGUCCACGCCCUAAACGAUGUCGACUAGUUGUUGGAGGGGUAAAACCCUUUAGUAACGUAGCUAACGCGUGAAGUCGACCGCCUGGGGAGU